UUACCAUAAAGAGUGCGAGAGGGACAAGCCCUGCGACCGCACAGCAACCUGCAUUUUGCAAGGUGCUAAGGCUUGAACGAUGGGAA
RNAcentral lists this non-coding RNA (86 nucleotides) under Clostridiales bacterium. Its description in RNAcentral is "SAM-I sequence". It matches the Rfam family "SAM riboswitch aptamer (S box leader)". Rfam says of the family: The SAM riboswitch is found upstream of a number of genes which code for proteins involved in methionine or cysteine biosynthesis in Gram-positive bacteria. The SAM riboswitch acts at the level of transcription termination control. Lineage: Bacteria; Bacillati; Bacillota; Clostridia; Eubacteriales. The record is from RNAcentral.